AUAUUUUGAAUUAAGUAUAUUCAUCAUAUGUUAUCAGACGAAUGUUGUUAAAGAUAUAGGUUGAUAUUUGUGAAGGAAAAGAGUUGCCUCUCUCCCAGCAAACAUUGCACGCAAGGUGGAUAUGGAUUUUUAAAGAGUGCCAUAAAACACAAAUUGUGAAUGAUCCUUCCGCAGGUUCACCUACGGAAA
This 189-nucleotide unclassified non-coding RNA is filed under the name uncultured fungus. RNAcentral's name for it is "sequence contains ITS1, 5.8S rRNA gene". The record is from RNAcentral. Lineage: Eukaryota; Fungi.